CAAAGCUCACCGUUUGCUUGGUGGCCCACAGAUGUUCAUCUCUGGCGUGGAGACCGAAAGCGAACGGCUGCUGCA
Molecule: microRNA precursor, 75 nt
Filed under: Petromyzon marinus (sea lamprey)
Lineage: Eukaryota; Metazoa; Chordata; Hyperoartia; Petromyzontiformes; Petromyzontidae
Description: microRNA pma-mir-4577 precursor
Source: miRBase by way of RNAcentral